CAGGCGCCCCAAAGAAGAGGUGGUUUUUUAAAUUUCUUUUGGCAAAAUACAAAACGAAACAUAAUUUCCAUCCCUGAGGGUAUCCUAUAGAAAAUAAUUCAGGACUUACUCAGGUUUAGUAGAACAGGGAAAUGUCGCUUAAAUAUACAAAUAUAUGUAUUUGUAUACAUAGGAAUAUUCUUCUGAGUUGGAGUUAUGAAGGUGGUAACUUGAAGUCCUAUAAAGGAAGGAGGUAGCUAUACACACAUACAAUAUAUGAAAAUGCAAAUUAAUUGAAGGUCAGGAAGAAAUAGAAACUCAGAAAUUUCCCGAGGGAUCAAGUGACAGUUCUGAAAACGGGUAAAAGAAGAUAGGAGGUGAAAAGGGGAGAUUACUUCGUGUUCACUUAACAUGUAGAAACAGCUAGAACUGAAGAAUCCAUUGAGUGUUCUCUGCAACCGAACAAUGUAGCAUUCUAGACGCUGUGACAUCAUGUUUUAAAAAUAGCCGCUUUCAGCAACAGAUAGCAGUUGAUAAUGAAAACGUUUUUUCAUGUCUUUUGGGAUGAGGGGGGAAGAGAGCUGGGGGAAGGGGCGACUAGUGACUAAGGGAGAUAAAUGUCCUGAUUGUCCCCGGUCUCCAUGUAAAUAGAAAUGUAACUGGCACCGGGCUGCAGGGUCACGUGCACAUUCUCUCAUGAAAAUAUUAGGCCCAUAGUACAUUCGAUUGUUUGCUUUUAUGACCAGUAAGUCAUUAACAUAAUGCGUUUUAUUAUUAGCCUACUUUGAACAGAUGAGACGCAAUCACCAGCGACCGGAGGAGAACCCCCACGGAUGCCUCCACGAUGACUUGGAUGGAGAUGUUGAAGGUGUGGCCGGGGCUGGGAGGUGUUGGGUGCCCGGAGGGCUGGUACCCACCCAGGGCCAGCCUCAGCCCAAGCGGACGGUUGGCUCUGCUUGAAAGCAGAGGGUCCCUCUGCGCCUCACACUCUUGUGUCACGCGGUAUGUAAAAUUUCGCUGCGUUCUCAGUCUCGGAGAAACAUUGUUGCCAGUGGCGCGCUGGGAAAUUGACUGGAGAAAGUUUUGGAGCAUUUACCGAUGGCAACACACCUGAGACAUCCUGCCGGAACGCUGGGCUGCGAAGAUGGGUCAGGAUUCAUCUCUGACCACGUAGGGAGGCGACGACCGUUUCCGUGUUUGGUGCUGGAGGGCUGCAGGGGGCCCAGGUGGGGUCAGAGGAGUCCUGUGCGGUACAGGAGUGAGCGUGGAAGGCAGGCUUUCUGGGAGGUGCUGGAGCUUGAGUUGAAUCACCAGAAGUGUCCCUGUUUGAACCUGUUUUUAAGACUGAAUUCAUGUCAAAUGAAAGCCGAAUGCUGACAAUAAAAACGGCAGCAACAAGCGUUUACUGAGCACGUCCUAUGUGCUACGCAGGCACUCUGCCAAAGCCGGGUAUUAUUAGCUCGUGUAACCUGACAGCAACUUUAUGAAGACGAUACUCUGGGGGACCCCUCUUUUAGGUGAGAAGAUCGAGGCACAGGGAGGUUAAUAACUUGCCACAGACCACGGAGCUUGUGAAAUGUGGAGCUGAGGUUGAACUCAGGCGCCUCGACCCUGGAGCUACAAUCUCAACCACUGAGGACACACUGCUUCAAAUAACUUCACAGUAUACAAUGUAACGGAAAGUUUCCCAGGAGUUCGAAUUGAGCAAACAGGACCGGUUUAAACCACCACACAUGCCCUCAAGAGCCCGGGGCCGCGACGUCAGUCUCAUAUUGGCAGAACGAUCAGAUAUUCCGAUCACAGAGCCCGCCAGCUUGGCGACAGUUCAUUAGCUGUAAGUGUAGUCGUAAAUGUGCCAUGAAGAAAUUUUCUGUAACCAAUUCCAGUAAUAAUUGGAUUAGAUACUUUGUUAGUGCAGGUUUCAAUAAAGCUGCAAUGUGAACUUCACGUUCAAA
Herpailurus yagouaroundi (jaguarundi) is the source of this 1934-nucleotide long non-coding RNA. RefSeq lists it as uncharacterized. The transcript has 2 exons. The record is from RefSeq and is a predicted model, not a curated record. NCBI's taxonomy places the organism in Eukaryota, Metazoa, Chordata, Mammalia, Carnivora, Felidae.